This is a non-coding RNA of Oryctolagus cuniculus (rabbit), 1017 nucleotides long. Lineage: Eukaryota; Metazoa; Chordata; Mammalia; Lagomorpha; Leporidae. The record is from RefSeq and is a predicted model, not a curated record.
CCGCCUCAGACUCCAGCCUGCAGGAAAGGUGGACCAGUGGCUCCGGAGCGGGGGAGUCAGCCCCGCACAGACACAGCCAGCACCAGUUGUUUCUGAAGACAGAGACUCAGCGUGCAAGGAAAGACCGCCAGCGAUGCAGAGUAUGCCCGGACCCACAUUUCACGGUCACUGCACAAGCCAGGGUUAGUGGGGUCUGCCCGCUUGAGAUCUGCCUUCUCCGCUUCCCCCAGCCCCGCCUCCGCCCCACCCCAACUCUCCAGCCCAAAACCUGGGUGUGGCUGAAACAAUCUGUGAGUUUCAUUCCAAUGCAUCAUUGAAGGAGUUUUUUCUCCCCUGUGUCCUGUUUCCAAAGUCCUUCUCUGAAGCCACGCUGGGUCUGGAUUUCUUGUAUGAGCUCUGACCUCUCGACUCUCUGCACAGUGUAGACUCUUCACUCUCAGGGGAAGCGACUUUUUGGGUCUGUGGGGCUUAGCAGACUCCUAUAAUCUGUGACCGCGGAGCUGGAACAUUUUCUUUGGUGACUUCUUUUCCUUCUAUGUUCCCUUUCUGGAUGUCUCCUUAUUUAGAGCCCUCCUGAACCAGUUCUCUAGUUUUCUUGUUUUAAACAAGCAUAUAUAAUUUUUCUGAGUUCUUUUAAACUUUUUUUUUUUUUUUUUUACAAAUUUGCUACUUUAUUUAUUUGAAAGACAGAGCAACAGAGAUCUUCCAUCUGCUGCUUCACUUCUCUAAUGUCCACGGUGGUCAGGGCUGGGCCAGGCUGAACCCUGGAGCCCAGAACUCAACCUGGAUCUCCCACAUGGGUGACUGGAACCCAAGUACCUGAGCCGUCACCCCUCCCUCCCAGGGUGCACAGCUGGAUCUGAAGUGGAGCAGCUGGGACUCGAACCUGAGCCCAUAUGGGAUGCCAGCGGUGCACGCUGGGGCUUUAAACCUGCUACGCCACAGCGCUGACUCCUCUUCAUAUUAUUUUCUAAGCCUUUUACUAAGCUUUUUGUUUAUUUGAUUUUUGAUCAUGUC